This 384-nucleotide unclassified non-coding RNA is filed under the name Hevea brasiliensis (rubber tree). Lineage: Eukaryota; Viridiplantae; Streptophyta; Magnoliopsida; Malpighiales; Euphorbiaceae. The record is from RNAcentral.
GUAGUAUGGGGCUUCAGGAUUUGGAACCCACUCUCCGGAGAAUAUAUCGCAUUUCGUGGCUACUAGGACAUGAUCAUCCUUAGAACCAAGUGAUGAAGAGGGUGGUGACUUGGAAAAAUUUUGAUACAAAGGGUACCCUAGUAAAGGGUAACACAGAGGAAUGAUUGUGAGAAUAAGUAGGGCAAAGGUUCCUAGUAGGACUAAUAUAAUUGGUGUCUUUUGUAGUGUGUGAGUUUUGCCAAAGGGAAUAAACUCCAUAGCAUGAAGCUUCACUUGAGAGGGAGAGAAACAGAGGCCGGGCGUGAAGAAAAUUAGGAGAAAGAGACCAUGCUUUUGUAUUUAUUGAGAGAUUGAGACCUAUUGCUUUCGUUUCUAUGUUCAAAC